RNAcentral lists this ribosomal RNA (253 nucleotides) under uncultured bacterium. RNAcentral's name for it is "partial 16S ribosomal RNA". It matches the Rfam family "Bacterial small subunit ribosomal RNA", at positions 524 to 776 of the family's 1533-position model. The record is from RNAcentral.
UACGUAGGGUGCGAGCGUUAAUCGGAAUUACUGGGCGUAAAGCGUGCGCAGGCGGUUCGUUGUGUCUGUCGUGAAAGCCCCGGGCUUAACCUGGGAAUGGCGAUGGAAACUGACGAGCUUGAGUGUGGCAGAGGGGGGUGGAAUUCCGCGUGUAGCAGUGAAAUGCGUAGAGAUGUGGAGGAACACCGAUGGCGAAGGCAGCCCCCUGGGCUAACACUGACGCUCAUGCACGAAAGCGUGGGGAGCAAACAGG